RNAcentral lists this ribosomal RNA (904 nucleotides) under uncultured compost bacterium. RNAcentral's name for it is "bacterial SSU rRNA". It matches the Rfam family "Bacterial small subunit ribosomal RNA", at positions 28 to 897 of the family's 1533-position model. The record is from RNAcentral.
GACGAACGCUGGCGGCGUGCCUAACACAUGCAAGUCGAACGGCCCGCCCCGUUGGAUCCCUUCGGGGAGAAGACGGGUUCCCGGGCAGUGGCGGACGGGUGAGUAACGCGUGGAGAACCUGUCUCUCAGUUGGGGAUAACCUGGCGAAAGUCGGGCUAAUCCCGAAUACGCUCUUGAGGUGGCAUCACUUUGGGAGGAAAGGUGCUUUCGGGCAUCGCUGAGAGGUGGCUCCGCGUCGGAUUAGCUAGCUGGUGGGGUAACGGCUCACCAGGGCGACGAUCCGUAGCUGGUCUGAGAGGAUGAUCAGCCACACUGGGACUGAGACACGGCCCAGACUCCUACGGGAGGCAGCAGUGGGGAAUCUUCCGCAAUGGGCGAAAGCCUGACGGAGCAACGCCGCGUGAACGAUGAAGGCCUUCGGGUCGUAAAGUUCUGUCCUCAGGGAAGAACCCUCAUGGGAGGAAAUGCCCAUGAGCUGACGGUACCUGGGAAGGAAGCCCUGGCUAACUACGUGCCAGCAGCCGCGGUAAUACGUAGAGGGCAAGCGUUGUCCGGAAUUACUGGGCGUAAAGGGUACGCAGGUGGAUAUAUAAGUCAAAUGUGAAAGGCACCGGCUCAACCGGUGAGCGGCAUUUGAAACUGUAUAUCUUGAAUUCAGGAGAGGAGAGCGGAAUUCCUGGUGUAGCGGUGGAAUGCGUAGAUAUCAGGAAGAACACCAGUGGCGAAGGCGGCUCUCUGGCCUGAAACUGACGCUCAGGUACGAAAGCUGGGGGAGCGAACGGGAUUAGAUACCCCGGUAGUCCCAGCCGUAAACGAUGGACACUAGGUGUUGGGGGUUCGAAUCCUUCAGUGCCGAAGCAAACGCAUUAAGUGUCCCGCCUGGGGAGUACGGUCGCAAGACUGA